This 433-nucleotide ribosomal RNA is filed under the name uncultured bacterium. RNAcentral describes it as "partial 16S ribosomal RNA". It matches the Rfam family "Bacterial small subunit ribosomal RNA", at positions 29 to 507 of the family's 1533-position model. The record is from RNAcentral.
AACGAACGCUGGCGGCAUGCCUAACACAUGCAAGUCGAACGAGACCUUCGGGUCUAGUGGCGCACGGGUGCGUAACGCGUGGGAACCUGCCCUUAGGUUCGGAAUAACUCCCCGAAAGGGGUGCUAAUACCGGAUAAUGUCUUCGGACCAAAGAUUUAUCGCCUUUGGAUGGGCCCGCGUUGGAUUAGCUAGUUGGUAGGGUAAAAGCCUACCAAGGCGACGAUCCAUAGCUGGUCUGAGAGGAUGACCAGCCACACUGGGACUGAGACACGGCCCAGACUCCUACGGGAGGCAGCAGUGGGGAAUAUUGGACAAUGGGCGAAAGCCUGAUCCAGCAAUGCCGCGUGAGUGAUGAAGGCCUUAGGGUUGUAAAGCUCUUUUACCCGGGAUGAUAAUGACAGUACCGGGAGAAUAAGCGCCGGCUAGCUACGUG